Molecule: ribosomal RNA, 494 nt
Filed under: uncultured bacterium
Lineage: Bacteria
Description: partial 16S ribosomal RNA
Rfam family: Bacterial small subunit ribosomal RNA
Source: RNAcentral
GAUGAACGCUGGCGGCGUGCUUAACACAUGCAAGUCGAACGGGAAAUACUUCAUUGAGACUUCGGUGGAUUUGAUUUAUUUCCAGUGGCGGACGGGUGAGUAACGCGUGGGUAACCUGCCUUAUACAGGGGGAUAACAGUCAGAAAUGACUGCUAAUACCGCAUAAGCGCACAGGACCGCAUGGUCCGGUGUGAAAAACUCCGGUGGUAUAAGAUGGACCCGCGUUGGAUUAGCUUGUUGGUGGGGUAACGGCCCACCAAGGCGACGAUCCAUAGCCGGCGUGGGAGGGUGAACGGCCACAUCGGGACUGAGACACGGCCCAGGCUCCUACGGGAGGCAGCAGUGGGGAAUAUUGCACAAUGGGGGAAACCCUGAUGCAGCGACGCCGCGUGAAGGAAGAAGUAUCUCGGUAUGUAAACUUCUAUCAGUAGGGAAGAUAGUGACGGUACCUGACUAAGAAGCCCCGGCUAACUACGUGCCAGCAGCCGCCGUAA